Long non-coding RNA from Alligator sinensis (Chinese alligator), 1059 nucleotides. RefSeq lists it as uncharacterized. Lineage: Eukaryota; Metazoa; Chordata; Crocodylia; Alligatoridae. The record is from RefSeq and is a predicted model, not a curated record. The transcript has 3 exons.
UACUCCCAUUUAGGGAGUCGGGGAGACAUUUCAGCUCUCCACCUUGUUGGGGAGGGAGAGGCCGUCCCCCUGCGGGGGGAGCUGGCGUGGGAGGGAUGGGGUGAGCCUAUUCGUGCAGCCGCCCUGAAGUGGGGGCACGGGAAGCUGGGGCCUGUACACCUCGCCAAAGUCUGCGGUGGGCUCUGAGCUGGCCCCUCGGAGCAGCGCCCACAGAGAAAGCUUGGAGGGGGCCUGGUCCUGCAGAGCCCUCUGCUAAUGUUAUGUGCGAAAUGAAAUGAAAUGGCCAAAUUGUAUAAGCAACAUCACUACAGUGCCAGUGUUUCCAAUUGCCAUAUUAUUUGGUGUUUUAAACAAAAAACCCUGCCCUAGGAGUUAUUGGACAAUAUGAGAAUCUCAGCUUUCUCCUAAAAGAAAACCGGGAUCCCUGUAUGAUGACUGUAUUGUGUGUGCCCACUCAGUUGAAAAGCUCCAGGUCACUCUUGAUUGCUUCUGCAAGGCAUAUGAAAUUCUUGGACUUGCUGUCAAGAUAUUUUACCAACCCACCCUGAACCAACCAGCUGUUCCUCCCCUUAUUACAAUAAGAGGGCAACCUGUACAGCAUUUUUCCUAACUGGGUAGCCACUAUCCCCCAAAAUAAGCAUAUAUAAUGAUAUUCAACACAAUACAAACAGCCAGUGUUGCUUUUGGGCAUCUCUGAAAUCAUGGCUUUGAAAAUGACAUCAGGAUCCAAACCAAGCUUCUUGUCUACCAGGCCAUUGUCCUCUCUACCCUACUGAAUGGAUGUGAAAUUUCAAUGACAUAUUGAGAACAGCUGAAAGCUUUGGAACAUUACCAUCAAUGAUGUCUGUAGAAAAUCGUCCACAUCAAUUGGAAGGGCAAGCAGAAGAAUGAACACCAGCAUUCUGGUUCAAGUAAACACCACCAGCAUUGAAGCCCUGUUUAUAUGGCACCAGCUCCAUACCUGGGAGACUCAAGCAUGGAAUCAUCCUCUAUGGCACUAUGAUGUAUGACAAGGCAUCAAUUAUUUUGAGCACACUCACCUCACUAUGGAGGUGUAUA